This 301-nucleotide ribosomal RNA is filed under the name uncultured bacterium. RNAcentral describes it as "partial 16S ribosomal RNA". It matches the Rfam family "Bacterial small subunit ribosomal RNA", at positions 509 to 807 of the family's 1533-position model. The record is from RNAcentral.
CAGUCGCCGCGGUAAUACGGAGGGAGCUAGCGUUGUUCGGAAUUACUGGGCGUAAAGCGCACGUAGGCGGCUACUCAAGUCGGGGGUGGAAGCCCGGGGCUCAACCCCGGAACUGCCCUCGAAACUAGGUAGCUAGAAUCUUGGAGAGGUCAGUGGAAUUCCGAGUGUAGAGGUGAAAUUCGUAGAUAUUCGGAAGAACACCAGUGGCGAAGGCGACUGACUGGACAAGUAUUGACGCUGAGGUGCGAAAGCGUGGGGAGCAAACAGGAUUAGAUACCCGGGUAGUCCCUGUCUCUUAUAC